GGGUCGGUGGUCUAGCUUGGCUUAGGAUCCGCGCCUGGGGCGCGCGAGUCCGUGGGUUCAAAUCCCACCCGACCCACCA
Molecule: transfer RNA, 79 nt
Filed under: Candidatus Odinarchaeum yellowstonii
Lineage: Archaea; Promethearchaeati; Candidatus Odinarchaeota; Candidatus Odinarchaeia; Candidatus Odinarchaeales; Candidatus Odinarchaeaceae
Description: tRNA-Pro
Rfam family: tRNA
About the family: Transfer RNA (tRNA) molecules are approximately 80 nucleotides in length.
Source: RNAcentral